GUCCAGGGGCGGGAAUCGAACCCACAACCUUCUGCUUACCGGGCAGGUGCCAUGUCCACUAGGCUACCCUAUAAAUGGA
This 79-nucleotide transfer RNA is filed under the name Cordylochernes scorpioides. Its description in RNAcentral is "tRNA-Thr". Lineage: Eukaryota; Metazoa; Arthropoda; Arachnida; Pseudoscorpiones; Chernetidae. The record is from RNAcentral.